GAUGGGUUAAAACUCACUGGGUAC
Molecule: non-coding RNA, 24 nt
Filed under: Arabidopsis thaliana (thale cress)
Lineage: Eukaryota; Viridiplantae; Streptophyta; Magnoliopsida; Brassicales; Brassicaceae
Source: RNAcentral